This 236-nucleotide unclassified non-coding RNA is filed under the name soil metagenome. RNAcentral describes it as "partial contains small subunit ribosomal RNA, internal transcribed spacer 1, and 5.8S ribosomal RNA". The record is from RNAcentral.
UCUCCGUAGGUGAACCUGCGGAGGGAUCAUUACACAAUAUGAAAGCGGGUUGGGACCUCACUUUGGUGAGGGCUCCAGCUCGUCUGAAUUAUUCACCCAUGUCUUUUGCGCACUUCUUGUUUCCUGGGCGGGUUCGCCCGCCACCAGGACCAAACCAUAAACCUUUUUGUAAUUGCAAUCAGCGUCAGUAAACAAUGUAAUUAUUACAACUUUCAACAACGGAUCUCUUGGUUCUG